GGGAGUUGCUGUGCAGGUCUCUGGCUAGCUGCUGUCCUAACUUCUUUUCUUCCCUAAACAGCCAGGAGAGAUCCCUGGGUGCGCUGAGGUGGAGAGCCCCGCGCCAGAGAGAUGUGGCUGUCAGAAGAGCCCCCCGCUCGUUAGCGGCUUCCCAGGAAGUAGCUUCCUCGCGGGAGUUUUUUCUCACCUGGACUGGGUUGCUGGAAUUGGUCACCCAAAGUAAACUUUCUUUUUUUUAACCCUGGUUCGCGUUUAUGCAGGGCAAGGUCGUUAUAUCAGCGGAGCCGUUCUCUGCCUUCCCAAGUACUGGCCAGAGGACUGCUGUGAGUGUUUAAGUCCCAGACUUGGCGAAUCUCUACACCUUGGAACCUGCUGGAAAAAAGCGCAAAAGUUGCGAAGCGCGGAGGUAGCGCAAGCUUCCUUUGCUCCUGCGCUGGGCACGUUGCUCCGGCACCGUCUCCAAACACAUAGUUUUUGGAACCUGGGAUGCUUGACUGGCUCUGGAAGUCCGCUUCAAGUUGUAUGGCUGGAGACAGUACGUAAACGCCGAACGUGGGGUUACCAAGGCCCGACAGUGGCACAAAAGGAUGAUUCAGUGCAGAAGAUGAAGCUUGUGUUGAUAGGAGCACUAACAACGCUAAUCACAGCACAGAAAUCGAUCCAGACUACUGGAGGAAGAGCGUUGCCGCGCCCAGGAUUUGAGGACCAAUAGCUAUUGGGCGCACAUCUGUAAUUCAAGUCUGACAGGGCUUUGGAUUCAGGGUGAGCUGACUCUGUAGGAAGCAGAAAGACUGUUUUAGGGGCUGAUGGAUCCAUCAGGACUGCAGCACCCUUCUGCUAACUUGAGUAUGUGCACAAGGCUACUUACUCAUAGAUCCACGCGCAUAGGGAGUCGGAGUGUACCUGUCGGACGUCCAGGCUUUCCUUCUCCUGCAGUUAAGGAAAGUUUGAAGCAUAACCACAGAGCCUGCGUGAAGGAGAUAUAAAUAAUGAAUUUGUUGGUGAAAAGGAUAAAGAGGCAUUUCAGUUCUAUGUGUAUUAGUUUGCCAGGAGCGACUUGGUGGAUUUAAUACUCCAAAAUGUAUCUCGGAUGGACACUGACUUCUUACAGAGUUUCAAGUGGAGAAUAUUCCAAUGUUUUCGAACCUGGUAUAAAUCUAUAAAUUAUCUGCUUGCCACAGAGUUUAAUGUUUCUACCAGUUGUGAUUCUUAUUUCUAAUUAAGUGGCGGUUACUGAAGUUGCAAUAAGAAUUAUAAUGAAUUAAUUCCAACAGAAUUCCAUCUAAUAUGAUUUCUGAUGACAUAAACCUGUGGUUUAAUGAUAAGAUAAUGUUAGACUAUUAGACAAAAAUUAUAGAACUGUAAUAAAGAGACUCGCUGGGUGAAAGAAAAUUCUGAAAUCGGCGCUGACUACUCACCUAAAAGAUAUGGGCUUGAAAUUCCUUUCUGGGUUACUGUGAUGUGCAACAGCUCUCUGCUACUAAAGUGAGCUCUUUGUAAAAUAAACAAACAUAGUUCAUUUACACAUUAAGACCUGAAAUUUAUCUUAUAGUUUUCUGGAAUGCUAUGAAAAAUCCUGUGCUAACCAUAGAGGAGUCUUUUUCACUUACCUUGAGUUUUAUAUGGUAGGCAACCCUGGUAAUCAGUGGUAUAAUAUUCUUGACAUAUAAGACCCUUCAACAAAGGGGGGGAAAAAAGGCUGUGAAUUUAUGGAGUCUCUUCAAGAAGCAUUGGCUUCUCAAUCUUAGAAGAAAAAAAAAAACACAUUUUCCUCAAUGAUUUUUUAUUGCUGCAUAACCAACAUUUAUUGCUUGUUGUACAUAAAGAGGAAUAUAGGAAUCACCCUUCUCCCUCCCACCUCACACUUUGCUUCUUUGGGGGAUAUAGUUGUCAGUAAACAAGAGAAGCAAAUCUCAAGGUCAGAGGAUUCCUCCCAUUCCCUAUCCCCUCAUAUCUGUCUACAUUAUUAAGAAGAAAUUAUUGAGACUCAAAUGUACUGUCAGAUCCAAGGGACUUCCAAACCCACCCACACCAUAUUAAAAUAACUACUUCAUUGUUUCAGUGUUGUGUCAUUCCCUAAAUUAUUUGAUACCUGAAAAUUGAAGUUGGUAUGUAUGUUAUCUCUUCAAAUGGAGACUUUGCUGAACCUUUUAUCUCUUCAAGAUAAUUGUAGUAGACAGUGUAUUUUCAUAGCACAUUUUUCCUUCCCUGGAGAUAGCAUUUAAUAUAUUCAUAUAUUGCGUCAUUAUAGAUUAAAGUUGUUCUUUGCAUACUGGUAUGCCUUUCCCACUGCACUAUGAGCUCUGACAGCAAGGAUGGUGUUAUGUACCUUGCUGUUUUCUGACAUCUAAUACAGAAUUUUCACUGAGUAAAAAGAUGUAUAAAAUGAUGAUGAUAAGGAAAGCUACCAUUUAUUGAGUGACUACUGUGUGCUGUGAUUAAUGUAUUUUUUUUCAUUUUAUACUCUUCACAACCCACUGACCUAAAUCUAUAUACUCAUAUUAUAGGGAAAUUGAUGCUUAUGCAAAUUUAACCAAGAUCACAAAGCUAUUUUGCUACAGAUAAAUUGGCAUUAGAAUCUAUAUCAGCCUGACUCUGAAGCCUGCAUGAUUAACCACUUUGCUGAGUUCAAAUAGCCAGGCACCACAUUUUCAAUUAUUCAAGGUUAAGUGAAUUUGUAUAUAUUUAAUGCUGAAUAAAGGCACAUAUCAAAUUUAGAAUAAAUUCUUUGUCUUAUGCAAUCUAAUCAAUACUGAUUUAAGUGUAGGAACAUUGAAACAGUAUAGUUCUCUUGUGUUAAAUAUGAUACUGUGUUCUAGGCAUUAUUACCAGGAGAAAUGCCAAAUAGUUGUAAAUUUCUCUAAAGGGAGGGAGGCGAGGCCACUAUGAAUUUAUAGUUAUACAAAAUUUUUCAUUGUGUAUUUCCAUGUCAUUAUCCUUAUGUUAAAAACAAAAGAAGUGAGGAGUUCCUGCUGUGUUGCAGUAGGUUGAGAACCUGAUUGCAGCUGCUCUGCUAGUGUCACUUUGGAAGUUUGAGUUCCAUCCCCUCCCUGGCAUAGUAGUUUAAAAGGAUCAGGUAUUGUCACGACUGUGGAAUCGCUCGCUGGGAUUUGAUCCCAGUCCCAGCCUCAUGUACAGCCAUAAAAAUUUUUUAAAAAUUUUUUAUAAAGAAGUGAAAUUAUUAUCGUUUCAUUUAUGCAAGAUGAAUAAGUUGUAGAGCUCUGUACAGCAUUGUCCAUAUAGCUAACAAUACUGUAUUGUACACUUAAAAUUUUAACAGAAUAUAGAUCUUAAGUGUUCUUAUC
This 3305-nucleotide long non-coding RNA is filed under the name Sus scrofa (pig). RNAcentral describes it as "lncRNA (ENSSSCG00000062406.1)". The record is from RNAcentral. Lineage: Eukaryota; Metazoa; Chordata; Mammalia; Artiodactyla; Suidae.